RNAcentral lists this ribosomal RNA (246 nucleotides) under Triticum aestivum (bread wheat). RNAcentral's name for it is "partial small subunit ribosomal RNA". The record is from RNAcentral. Lineage: Eukaryota; Viridiplantae; Streptophyta; Magnoliopsida; Poales; Poaceae.
AUGAGUGACAAUGACCUAAUCCUCAUGUCGUGGAAUGUUCGCGCCUUGAACUGCCUGGCGAAACGCACAGCCAUCAGAGAGGUAGUUCAGGAUAACCACAUUGCACUUCUAGCGUUGCAGGAGACCAAGGUGGAGGUCUGGUCGACUGGUGUAGCAACGGAGGUCGGCGGCGCUAAUCUCCAAGGGUGUGUGGUGCUGCCGGCGCACGGGACGAGAGGUGGUGCGUCGAUCUUCUGGGACAAGCAA